GUUCAUAGUUCUUUGUUUCCUGCAAAUUUCCAGUAAAGUAACGGUUCACUUUUAGUUCUAUUUUUCAAUUGCCCUGUUGGUCUUUUUUGGAAGAUGCAUCAUGAGCAAGGAAAAUUCAUUUCAGUUAUAAUUGAAUUAUAGUCUCCUAGACUAUUUCUACUUUAUAUUCUGGGAUAGGUUUUGCUUAGAGACCCACUGCACAAUAAUGUAAUUCCUAUUGUUGAGGAACGGUUGCCUCUUGUAAUGUAAAUGUUACAAGCCAAUUCAAGGUGAAGAAGAGGAGCGUCCUGUGAUGCUAAAAGAUGUCGAUACAGGCGAAGAAAAUGCAUUGGAAGUUGCACUAGAAGCCAUUUGUAGUUUGUAAGAUGCGUGUACUCGAGAACUGGAGACCGAUGCUUAUCCUGCUUUAGACGAGCUGACCUCCAAGAUUAGCUGUCGUAAUCUGGAUCAGGUGUGUAAGCUGAAGAGUUCCAUGACAAGGUUGACAAAUCGUGUUCAAGAGCUCAAUAAUCAUCGGCAUCAACUCAUUCAGGUGGUCAUCCUCACAAGCAUAAUUUGUGCAAGACUUUUCGCAUCUAUAUAUAAUUUCAUAUGCUCGGCACGAAGAUCUUGUCUUGUCUUGAAUGGAUAUACAUGUGUAUAAAACCAGCCAGAAGGAGAUAUAGAUCAUAAAUCUUGUAAUAUUACUCCCAAGUUCUUUACAUUGGUGGCUUUGGGAACGUGUUCAAGGACUUGAUCAUCAAUUCAUGUGCCAAAACCAAAUAAGUAGAAAGCUUAGGCAUUGAAUUUAAUUAGAAAGUGGGUGCCACAGGCAUUAAUUUGUUAGCUAGCAGCAUGGGUUAAUAAAAGCAUAGUGAGAUGGGGCUUUAGGUGUGACCAUGGGAAGGUGAGAUUGAAUUGAUGAAGUGUGUCCCAGUGCAUUUGACAUUAACAACUAAUGUGGCCUACUGCUGGGGCCGAUUGAAUUAGCUUCCAUUUGUUAGAAGCACCUCUGAAAAGGAGAAGCACGCGGUCAUUGAUUGCUAGCAUCUCAUCUGAUCAUCUCUGAAGCAUUUUUUUCAACAAUUUGGAUCAUUUUCUUGUUCCCCAUUUUCCCUUAAAGCAACUCAUUUUGGUCCCAAAUGACUGCUUUGGUGGGUUCAUGCAAAUAAUUAUUUUUUUUUAAGUAUAGAACAAUUAUCAAUUAUUUUGUCCAUGAGGAGUGAGAAAUUAUUAGAUGUAUUCAUAAACAUGUACUAUUUUUAAUAAUUAUACGAGA
This 1258-nucleotide unclassified non-coding RNA is filed under the name Hevea brasiliensis (rubber tree). The record is from RNAcentral. Lineage: Eukaryota; Viridiplantae; Streptophyta; Magnoliopsida; Malpighiales; Euphorbiaceae.